This 237-nucleotide long non-coding RNA is filed under the name Lathyrus oleraceus (garden pea). RNAcentral's name for it is "Pisum sativum (pea) long non-coding RNA (PSAT_LNC025251)". Lineage: Eukaryota; Viridiplantae; Streptophyta; Magnoliopsida; Fabales; Fabaceae. The record is from RNAcentral.
UUUCAUUACCUUUAUCAUUCAUUGCCAUUUUAUAUUUCAUGCAACUUGUUUAUGUUUCAGUCCUUUUCACUUUGCUCACUUGAUCCAUAUCUUGUGAUUAUAUAUAUUGUGUACUUGUGAUUUUGUUUUGUCUAGGGUCUUAAGAUCUUAAAAUACCUAAUAACAAUAAAAAACCCUAAAAUAUAUCUUGGUGGACUGUUGAACUUAAUCUGAUCUUUUGGACUUAGAGUAGGCAAC